RNAcentral lists this long non-coding RNA (463 nucleotides) under Ananas comosus (pineapple). RNAcentral's name for it is "long non-coding RNA (ACOM_LNC018914)". The record is from RNAcentral. Lineage: Eukaryota; Viridiplantae; Streptophyta; Magnoliopsida; Poales; Bromeliaceae.
CGUUGUUUGAGUACGGUAUAACACGGCUUUGCGAAGAACGUUGUAACAAGAUUGAUAGCCAUAGUCGGAUAAAUGAACUAGCCAAAUUUUUAACUGCAUGGUGAACAAUAUGAUUAAAAAAAAAAGUGUUAUUUUUAGGAGACGAGGCUCAAGCCCAACUUCAGUAUUUCGCCGUAUACAUUCACUUGCGCAGAAUUGGCUAAAACAGUGCCAUUAAUUGUACACUUGUAACUUAACCCUGCCCCUUCUCUCCCUCUCUCUAUCUCUUAUGCUGUUUUUGAUAUUUUGUUUUCUCUUUUCUCGAGGUACUAUAUCUCACCUAUAUUGUCGAGUUCAUAUCAUUUUUAUAAAUAAAGCGGAUAGCUUACUAUCUUUUUUUCAAAAAAAUAAAUUCACAUAGAUAUAAUUUGCGUGAGCCUUCUUUUUGAAUUGAAUUAAAAAGUAGUCGACAUUUCUGAGUUUA